RNAcentral lists this long non-coding RNA (257 nucleotides) under Gopherus agassizii (Agassiz's desert tortoise). RNAcentral describes it as "lncRNA (ENSGAGG00000025215.1)". The record is from RNAcentral. Lineage: Eukaryota; Metazoa; Chordata; Testudines; Testudinidae.
CUCCUACCUGGUAAUGUCCAGUACAGCAUAGAAAAAAAGACAAUGUUGAAACAGUCACUAUGUACUUUUCCUUGAAGAUGCUUAAAUAUCAUCAAAGUUUAGCAGUGUGGAGGAUGGUCAAAGAGCGAAAAGAGACACAGGAGCUGCAAACAGAGUGUAAAGGUGGAAGUAGACUUUUACCUUCCUAAAAAUCUUAGUACAGGAGGCAAAGCAUCUUUGCAGUAACAUAAAGGAUUCCAUACUGAAGUAUAAGAAAG